GGAGAGGGCAUAGCUCAGUGGUAGAGUAUGUGCUUAGCAUGCACAAGGUCCUGGGUUCAAUCCCCAGUACCUCCA
This 75-nucleotide transfer RNA is filed under the name Vicugna pacos (alpaca). Its description in RNAcentral is "tRNA-Ala (AGC) (tRNA-Ala-AGC-804-1)". It matches the Rfam family "tRNA". Rfam says of the family: Transfer RNA (tRNA) molecules are approximately 80 nucleotides in length. Their secondary structure includes four short double-helical elements and three loops (D, anti-codon, and T loops). Lineage: Eukaryota; Metazoa; Chordata; Mammalia; Artiodactyla; Camelidae. The record is from RNAcentral.